This 178-nucleotide ribosomal RNA is filed under the name uncultured bacterium. Its description in RNAcentral is "partial 16S ribosomal RNA". It matches the Rfam family "Bacterial small subunit ribosomal RNA", at positions 338 to 507 of the family's 1533-position model. The record is from RNAcentral.
CCUACGGGAGGCAGCAGUGGGGAAUAUUGCGCAAUGGGCGAAAGCCUGACGCAGCGACGCCUCGUGAGGGAUGAAGGUCUUCGGAUCGUAAACCUCUGUCAAGAGGGAAGAAACCNUUGGAUUCGAAUAGGGUCCUUGGCUGACGGUACCUNAANAGGAAGCACCGGCUAACUCCGUG